This is a long non-coding RNA of Gadus morhua (Atlantic cod), 799 nucleotides long. RefSeq lists it as uncharacterized. Lineage: Eukaryota; Metazoa; Chordata; Actinopteri; Gadiformes; Gadidae. The record is from RefSeq and is a predicted model, not a curated record. The transcript is spliced from 3 exons.
CGAUUUUUUCGUCGCAGACGAAUUUGCGAAUCGUACACGAUUUUGAGGAGUCGGCGACGAGACGAGGUCUUGUAAUGUGACAUGCUUGCGAUCUGCGAUGCUUUCGUCUGCGACGUUCGAAAACCCCACGACGAAAAGUUUGGCAUGUCAGAAUUUUUUGGGGAAUCGCAUGACGUAUACAUUGUUGACAUGAGGGAACCACGCCCCCAGUUGCGUGAGGGAAGCCCGCGAACAGCUGGAGCUGACGCGCAGUGUUUACCAACUGCCUUCACUGCACUACGCUCAGUAGGAGUAACAACCGCAAAAAUGAAUUCGAUCAAGAAGAUUAACAAAGAAAACGAGAGAAAAUGGAGCAACACUAUGGAGACAACCUUGGUGGAAAUGUGGCAGCAACGUCCAUGCAUUUUCGACGUGUCCUCAAAGGACUUCCACGAUAGGGUGAAAAGGGAUAAAGCCUGGCGAGAAAUAGCCGACACCCUUGACCUACCCGUUGUAGAGAUAACAACUAGAGCUGCGUCUCUGCGGACACAGUUGGGCAAACUGCUCCAUCCCAAACCAAGUGGGAGUGGACAGAAGGAUGUUACCCUGACCCCACGACAGAAGUGGAUCUGUCAGAGUAUGGUUUUUUUGCGGGCACACAUAGCGCAUAGACCAUCACAAACAACACUGAAUUUUGAUGACAGUCAACAAGAGGCCACAGAGAGCAGUGAGGAAGAGACAGAGGCUGAGGGCCCCCCAGCUAUUACCAACCCACCACCACCAUUCCCACCUAGACCUCCACCUGUCCAGGAGUCCAGAG